Gossypium raimondii (Peruvian cotton) is the source of this 979-nucleotide RNA transcript. RefSeq lists it as uncharacterized. NCBI's taxonomy places the organism in Eukaryota, Viridiplantae, Streptophyta, Magnoliopsida, Malvales, Malvaceae. The record is from RefSeq and is a predicted model, not a curated record. The transcript has 7 exons.
UGGAAUGAAUUUUUGCGGCGUUUUUAUCCCAAAAUUUUCCGGCUAAAACCCCUAAUUUUUUCUUUCCCCUCUUCCCCUUUUCAAACUCAUUUCUUUCGCCUCAUUUUUCUUUUUCUCGGAUCUUCUUUCUUCCUCUCAGCAAAGAUCUUUGAUUCUUUCCGUCUCUUUUUCGUUCGCUCUCUGAGGCUGGAAACAGGCUCGUCAAACCCCCGUUGUCAGUCGCUGAGCUCAUCCCUUUCCUAGACGUUGAUGAAGAACCUGCAAUUAGAACAAAUACCACCAUAUUAUUGGGGAACAUUGCAAGCUACCUAAAUGAAGGGAUGGGGCAUGAGUUCCUUAACUCUUAAAGGCAAAGCUUCUGAUCAAGCUCUAGCCUUGGCAAAUAUUCAGGCAGCUCAGAAGCGUCCUGUUUCGCAACCAGUUUCACAGCCUAAACCACAAGCUAGAAUUCGAGGUACUAAUGACGUCAUUCAGUUAAAUAUGAUGAUAUCAGUGUUCGAUUAGUUUGCUAUCUUAACUGGUGUAGAUCAGAGUGAUGGCUGAUAAGAGUUAAUUAAUUGCCUUCCCUGAAUAAGGAGCCAAUGAUUAACACAUACGCCAACUUUAGAGAUGAUGUUCUUCCCCGUAUUAAAAGACUUGGGUACAAUGCUGUUCAGAUCAUGGCUAUUCAAGAGCACUCAUAUUAUGCUAGCUUCGGGUACCAUGUGACAAACUUCUUUGCACCUAGUAGCCGCUUUGGAACCCCUGAUGUCCUCAAGUCACUGAUAUAGAUAAGGCUUAUGAGUUGGGUAGUAGUCGCUUAUGGUGUACAAAUACUUGUUCAAAUGCAAGAUGGUGGCUGGAGGAGUAUAAGUUUGAUGGGUACAAAUUUGAUGGUGUGACUUCAAUGAUGUACAAGAUUUCCUUGAUUAAGUAAAUGUAUUAUAUCUUUUAUUACCAAGAUUUACUUGAUUAAGAAAAUGCAUUGUAUGUUUUAUUA